GCACUUUGCCCUAGUCUUCUGCUUACUCUUUUGGUCUUUUUUUUUUCUAACUUUUCUUUCCAUUCCAUUUUUUCCUGGAAAUCUCACCAGCAAUCCACCCCAGGUGUCUGUAUGUCAGCAGCAUCUACUCCACACUAAUUUUAUAGCCAUGAUCCUCUCGUUACUGUCUGGUCUCCUUCGCCCUGGCAUGAAGGCUGGAUCCCUGGCCUUCCUGCAAAAAUCAGGCACUGCCAUGCCAACUGCCCCCUACCAGGGAGCACUCCUCCCAUAGGAUCUUACUGGAGUGCCUUACCUUAGGUUCUGUUAAACAGGAUGAAUUCAAGUCUUGCUGGACACCAUGUUAUUUUCCCAUCGUAGCUUCUCUUCCUCCCUAAUAACAUGCCACAAUCCUAUGAGAAAAGCCUCCCAAAACGCAUGGUACAUUUUAUUACCAUCCACAAGCCAUUGUUUGGCAGUCCAGCCAAAGGCAUAGUUUGGGUAGUUGCUAUUCUCCCAGGGCAGUGAGGUUUGCUGUGUUCCUCUGUAGCUACUCAUUUACCUGAAGGGCAUCCAGAACCUGUAUCUGACCCAGGUAAGUUCUGCUCUAAUCUGCUCUAAUUACAGCCCCUCUUGGGCUGCCUUCUUCACUUCUGACUGCUCAUGAAAUUAUUACAGCUGGGGGAAAGUCACUGUUAUAAAAAAGCACGUACAAUUCACAAUGUUCUUUCUAGUUAUGACAAGCUUGCCCCAUCUUACAUUGCUCCACCAAGCUCCCAGCUAUGACAAGACACUUCCCUCUCUUAUUCUUUUCAGAGCUACGCUGGGAAUCUGCAGAGCUGCUGGGUAAGCGGCAGCAUAAGACGUUCAGCCAUCACUAGGCAAAAAGCCUGCAAUGCUCUGCAGUAGGGAAACCAUUCAGUUUGUCUGGUGGCACCCCUGAACACAGAGAAGCUGCACAUACAGCACAGGAAAACUUGUUACGAACAGCAGUGUUUAAAGGUCAGUAAUUCCGGAUUCUUUUCCCUGUCACUCCUUCCUACCCUGUAUCACCAACUUCCCCAGAGCUGCCCUCUCUCUCUGCCUUUCCUUCUUCUCUUAUGUGCAGUCCAGAAAAAGACAUCGGACUGUCAACCAAGAGUUAGUUCAGUGUAAAUUGAUCCUCCAGGCUAGGUCAGAUCAUAAGUGUUUCCUGAAAACAGUUUUUAUUGGCUUGUAAAAUAAUCAUUUGGCUCGUUCUGUUCCCAGUGGCAGGUGCAUCUAUGAGCAGCAUGAAAAGAUUCCAAGGUCAGGAUGUGAUACUGCUUCUUCUCUUCUCCUCUUCACAUGGAAAGGGGCCAAAAGAUCCUGUGCAUUCUUAGCUAUAAUCUCUUCAAAUAUCUAAUUAGAAAUUAUGUAGAAAAUUGUCUUUUUUUUUUUUUUUUUUUUUUGAAGGUGCACCACGAAAGAGCAAGGAGCGUCAGAACAAGUUGUAGCAAGAAAAAAUAUGAUUAGAUAUAAGGAGACAUUUUUUCACAAUGAGGGUGGUCAAACACCUGAACACACUGUCCAGAGAUUGUGUAACAUCCAGCCAUGGAGAUCUUCACAGCUCAGCUGGACAAAGCCCUGAGAAACUUGUUCUAGCUCUGAAGCUGGGUUUAAUAUAAAGAUUGGCCACACUUUGAGCAAAGGUUGGACCAAAUGACCUUCAGAGGUCCAUUGUAAUGCCGAGGGUGUGACCAGGUGACCUCCAGAGGUGCCUUCUCACCUAAAUUACCAUGUGAGUUACGAAUCUGUAAUUGCAGGAGCCAGUUGCACUUCCCUAUGUUACAGUGCCCUAUGCAGCACCCUGCAGCAACUUUGAAAUCUUCUCUUCCAGUGCAUGCUGUCUGUCUUGGAUCACUUGUGGUGCCUCACAGAGGAGCCCAGGUGACUCCCAGUGAAGUGGAAGCUGAAGAGACUGCUCCGACAGUCUCCUUUGCACACCCUCCACCACCUGGACAGCUCUGAGCAGGGAGUGAUGGACCCUGGGUUCACAGCACAUCCUGCACAGGGAAGCACCAGGUGGAUGUGCUGCCCAUGCAGGGAUGCUCUUCAAACAUCUCACGGUAUCAUCCAGUCACGCAUUCCCCUGGCUGACCAUGCUCCCUACAGCAGUAGGAUGCCUGCUAGAAAGAAGGAUGCCAGCAACACAGUUUGAGCAGUGCAGGACAAGUUGUUCUGUGAAUGCAUCUGUGGAGUUGGCCAGCUGCGUGCCUGCGGGUGUCAGGGAUUCCCCUUGCUUGCCGAUGGCCUGUUUGCACACUCACACUCUGGCUUGCCUUUAGGCAAAGGCUAACAGCCCUGUAAUCAUCUGCUAGCUAAGUCGAAAAUCCCUCUAGGGUUAUUCUUUGCUGCUGACUAAAUCAUUUCUCUUCUUUACUCCUCCAACUCUUCAAAAAGGAGCCAGAUCACCCUCAAGUGGGAUAAUAGCCUCCAUCCCAGCGUGCUCAGAUUUUGAAACCCCUCAGGGUCAGCUUUUGCUUAGGCUGCCACGCUGCAGAAAGAAAUUGCUGCCCAGUCCUCAGGGACUAGUGUCUCCUGAACACAUGCUUCCAGCAACAGUAGUAAAAGAGCCAGGAGAGACAGGGAGCAGUAGAAUUUUGAGAGGCGUCUUUGGAGUAGAAAGCAGCUGCCAUUUGGCGUUUGGACAUGGACCAUUCCAUGCAGAUAAAUACCUGUGUAUAUAUUCAUACAUAACGUGCCAUUUCCCAGCCAUCAACAUGCAGUACGCUUCCCCAUCGCACCCAACAUCCUCCUGGGAACUGUGUGCACCACUGAGCAAGCAGCACAGCCCUGAAUGAACGCACAUUGGCAACUGGUAGGGGAGAAGAAACACCUGGCUGGCUUCCUCCACAGAAAUGGCCAUUCAGUCACUGAUAUUGCAGUCUGAUCCCCAGGGGGUUUAUAAAACACCUGCAAAGGAUGAACUGGGAGCUAGAGUUCACAGUCCCUGCGGACGGUAAAGCUCAUUAACUCAGUAAAUACACUGUCUUAUUACAAGGUACUGCUUAUCACUGCUUCUCAGCCCUUAUCCUUUCACAGGUUAAAGGCAGAAGUCUUUUCAACCUUUUUCUCAAAUUGCCCAUCUGACUGCCAAAACUAAAUUGAACUCAAAACAUUUGUUCUCAGACAGCGCUUAGCAAGUUUGCUGUAUGUCUUUCAAAACUGAAAAGGAGGCUUUUGUGCCUGAAAGUUUUCCUAUUUUUUUUAAAUGAUAUCAUUCGAUUAAAAGAAAUUGCCCCUGUCUACAAGCCUUACCUGUUUCAUAGCCCUUAGACACUGGUGGUUGUGGCAGUGCCAGUGCUGCACCACGGAGAAGCUGUGCUGGCCAGAGGAGCCAGUGGGACUCAUUUGCUGAAGAGAGCUUAGACCAGAAAGUGAAGGAAACACUAAAAUUCACAACAAAGGCCAAAAUGGCAACACUGCAAGAGACACAGGCACACAGGGACAAGAUAGAAGAUGAGUGGGACAAGGGAACUCUGUGCAUAUCACAUAAAUUGGGAAAAAAUAUAUACUCUGUGGCAGGACAUGCUUCAGAAACAAAGGCCCUUAGCCUUUUCCAUCCAGCUCUCCCACAGCUCCACCAACUAUCAUGGGAAAAAGGAUGGCACAAAUGGCCAAGAAGAAGGAAAUACUCUCUUGGACCCCGUGAGGAUGGAGAAUUAAAAAGAGCAUCUGGAAGUGCUGCUACAAGAGAUCUGCAGUACCAUUGCAGGGCCCAGGUGUGACAAACGAGCCAGCUGGAUCGUUGGUGCCAUGGGCUGCAAACUAUUUAGACGUGCAGAGAUAGGAGCAGGGAUGAUGCUUCCCAUUCAGAGCUUUUCCAUACACCACGGAAUACCAGCAGAUAGUAAUGGGAAGCGUAAUGGUGAGAGUUAGAUGAGUAGAUAGACAUAAUGAAGCGGGAGAAAAAUUAUUGUUGGUGUCUGCUGUAAGCAUGAACAGCUCGAGAAAGAAAUCAAUAAAUUCCCACCUAAAUUCCACCAUCCAUAAUGCUGAUGGCAAGGUCCCAGUGCUUGGUAGCCAUGGAGGAUUUUAGUUACAGUUCCCCCAUAUCUACUGGGAAAUGCACAAUGCUAAACACCGGCCAGCAGGGACUUUCUCAAAGGGUUUCAAUGGCAUUUUCUGACUCAAAGCGCUGGAGAGACGUGUUAGGCUGCUAGCUCAGUAAACCAGUAAUGGGAUAGGGAGCCUUUCACCACGGGGUCACCUUCUAGUGACCCAUGGUUAUUACCAGCUCAUUGCUGCUGCCUGUGUGAAAUGAGGUGAGGAGCUUGGACCACUUCCUCGUGGCCAAGCGCCUCCGUUGCACAAAACCCACAGCUGCAAUUGGUGCUAAUUGGCCCCCCUGCUCGAGAGCCUCCGCGGAAGGCUGGGGCACCCCGGCUCCCUGCUCCCGGGGGGCUAUGUCCCGAGGGCUAUGUCCCAGCACCGCCAGCCCCACAUCCCUGGGGAGGUGUCAGCUCAGCACCCCGGGAUGCUUCAGCCCAGCACCCCCGAGGCUGGAGCAGGGAUGGUUGGGUGGGCUGGAGCUACGCCAGGGUCCUUUCCUCUUGGGGGAGGAAGGCUUUUGGGGAGGAGGGCGAUUCCUCCGGGCCGGGGAGGAUUAGGAAGGGCCGUCUCCUUUAAGAAAGGGAGAAGCCCCCCUUUCAGCAGGCUCUCCCAGCUGACGCACAAUGGCAUGCCACCUCCUUGCCGGCACAGAAAUGAUAAUCAGAGGUUCAGCAAACAGGAGAGAAAGAGAGCUGCUCCCUGCCCUCCGCCCCCCCAUCGCAUGACUGGUGUCACACGAGAUGAGGUGGCAGAUGGGUCGUGCGGGCCGCAAUGCCUUCUUUAACCCCUUCCUCCCCCUGCCAGCCCGCUCCCAGAGGGGUGUGGAGGGAGCCCUGGUCCGGAGGCUGGUUGUGCAGGGAGGGCCGUGCUGUCUCAUGGCAGUGUCACGCCAGGUUUUGUUCAAAAGAUCCUAUCUGCGUCUGCACCGGGGUGUUUGGAUCCGUCCCGGCGCAGCCAGCAGCUCUUCCAGGCUCCUGCCCCGGCCGGGGGAGGUGGGUACAAAAGGGAUGCGGGGAGUGGGCACAUCACAGGGGGAAGGCAAAACCAGCAUCCUGCCCCACAGCCCCAUCUGCUUCAUUUUAUGGGUGUUAGUGACACAGAUUGACGGGGGAAAGCUCCCCGUGUCCCCUCCACCUUGGCACCAGUGUUCGCUUGGCCAGGUAAACCUCUUUGACACAAACCCUUCACGGUGGUCCUGGUGAAGGGGCAAGGUUUGCAUGACUCCUGAGGGUGUUUUGCUCCCCAGUUUCUUCCAGGAUGGCAGCAGGAAUGGCUGCAGGAUGGUGCACCCACCCAGUACCUGCCUGUCUUUGGUGGCUUCUUUUUUCCAGCUGGGAUAUGCACCGUCAAAAAGGAACAGCGUGGAAAGCUGAGCUGUGCUCUGCUCCUGAUUACAUUUCUUCGGUCCUGGCUUGCAGGGACCUGGAGUUAUGCCACUGUUUAUGACCAGCCUUUAUUACUGUUAGAAAUAAUAGUUCCUGGCACAAAGGUUAAGGAGGAUUUGGGGCAUCUUCAAUGAAUUCUGCGGCAUUUCUAGCAUUCUUUGGGAGUGCAGUAUUGUUGUUCUGUUGUGUCACGCUUAUUAUGUGCGUGCUGCUUGUACUUGAUCCCUCUGGCACAUUUUAAAAGGCAACGCCACGCAAAGGGACGCCACUCAGAAGGAGGCCAUGUGUGCUCUGUUAACACAGCCAGCACUUUGCUUUGGGAGGUGCAUGCAGUACAUCACCGUGAGCCAUGUUUUCACAAUGCCACUGCCAUCCAGAAGUGCACAGCUUCGCUGCUGCUUUUGGUCCUGCCUUGCAGCCUCACCAUGAGCCCAGACUUAGCCCCCAGCUCUGUCCUGCUCCUUGCUCCUGCCCUGCAGCCCCUGUUGAGCCCCAAUUCCAGCUCUGCCAAAGCACAUUUCUCUCGAUGGCUGAAAUUUUGUUCAAGGGCAAAUUCUUAAUCUUUAUCGAAUCAGUGCGCCACAGUGGCCCUGUCUCUGGUGUCAUCUUCAGCAAGAAAUCCCCAGUUGACACCGAACAAACAAUCCAGGACUCAGAGGCAGCCUCUGGGCAUACAAGAUGUGUGCUUUCUUUCCUCCUCUACUUCCAGAUGUGCCUGGAAUCACAGCCGGAGUUGGGCUUGGCUGCUUCGACCCGCCAGUGGUGCCACGGGGCGUGGGGCCAGGCUGGGAGACGGGGUGAGGAGCAAAGCUGGGUGCGUGAGGUGGCUUUCCCUGCCCCAGCUGGUCACAGGUUCUGUUGGUGGCAAUGCCAAAAAGCCUUGCUAUUGUUUUCUGGUGACAAAAAGAGCCCGCGAAACAGAUGUGCGGGGAGACGGGCCGUGCGCUAACGCAGCUCGCUCCGUGUGUUGGAGCCGAUGAGCACCGCUCGCUGUCUCCCGCCCUCCUCCCUGCCCUGCCCUACAUGUGUUUUGAAGGACAAUUACAUCUGUAUUUUACAAAGUACACUGCUCACAAGAGGAGAGGAAGCCACUGCGCUCCCCGCCCCCACUCGUCCAGGCCCCCCGUGCAUGCAGUCUGCUCGCCUGUGGUUUCCUCCAAGCGAUGGAGCCCAUCUGCUAGCAGUUAGCUACCCGGAGCUUGUCCCGUGCUAACCCCGCUACGGUGCUGACUGGUACCAGCACCGGGUGCUGGUGGUGGGGCCAGGCUCUGUGUGCUCCUGUGGGCAGGCAGGGGAUGCUACCUGCACCCUGGGGCUGGAGAAAGCAGGGAGCUAAGUGCGUACUGCUCCCCGCUGCUGUAAUUGAAGACAGCAGUCCCUGCGCUGGCCACAAAGUCAUCCUCAUCCUCUCCCUGUGACAUCACGGUGUGUCACUGUGGAAGCGAUGAUGACAUCCCAGCAUUGCCCCAACAGCAUAUGGAAGGGCAGGCAAGGAGCUGGAGGCGGCUAUGUGGUGCGGGUCCCACGAGGUUCCCCGGAGCUGCAGCCCUGGGCUUGACAGCUCAGACCACCUUUGUGUGUAAUUCCCUCCUCUCCCCUGGAGACCUGCCUGGAUGUUGUGUCUGCCCAAAUCACGGCCUCCUCAGGGCAGCCCCAUCAGCUGGAAAGGGCUCUUAGCCACGUGCUGCGGACACGUGGACCAGGGCGGCAGGAGCUGAUGUGCAUCAGAGAGGCCGUGGCGAGUCUGGCUGACCAGGCAAUAUAUCUGGUAGACAGCCCAGAGGAAGGAGCCCAGAGAUAGUGUGCAGCCCCUCCCAAGCGCCUUUCUGUCUGGGAGGAACCGGAGAUCCAAACAUCCAGUCUGGCACACCGAAUGACACACAGCUAUCGGCUGUGGUAUGAGUGAAAUGCUUUGGUGAAUCACUUGGACAGUGCCCGAGGCUGCUAAUAGUUCGGUCACAUCCUAUUGUUACAUUAGCAGCCCUGGAAACGAAACAGCCUGAAACCUCUCCAGGAUAAAAAAAUGUAAUAAACUAAUUCAGUGCAGAUCUCCUAAAAGCAACCA
Long non-coding RNA from Cygnus olor (mute swan), 7500 nucleotides. RefSeq lists it as uncharacterized. The transcript has 3 exons. The record is from RefSeq and is a predicted model, not a curated record. Lineage: Eukaryota; Metazoa; Chordata; Aves; Anseriformes; Anatidae.